RNAcentral lists this ribosomal RNA (253 nucleotides) under uncultured bacterium. RNAcentral describes it as "partial 16S ribosomal RNA". It matches the Rfam family "Bacterial small subunit ribosomal RNA", at positions 524 to 776 of the family's 1533-position model. The record is from RNAcentral.
UACAGAGGGUGCGAGCGUUAAUCGGACUUACUGGGCGUAAAGCGCACGUAGGUGGCUGUGUAAGUCGGGUGUGAAAUCCCCGGGCUCAACCUGGGAACUGCAUUCGAGACUGCAUAGCUGGAGUACGGAAGAGGAGGGCGGAAUUCCCGGUGUAGCGGUGAAAUGCGUAGAUAUCGGGAGGAACAUCAGUGGCGAAGGCGGCUUCCUGGCCCAAAACUGACGCUGAGGUGCGAAAGCGUGGGGAGCAAACAGG